CGUAGGUGGCAAGCGUUGUCCGGAUUUAUUGGGUUUAAAGGGUGCGUAGGCGGUCUUGUAAGUCAGUGGUGAAAUACGGCAGCUUAACUGUCGAGGUGCCAUUGAUACUGCAGGACUUGAGUACAGACGAGGUAGGCGGAAUUGACGGUGUAGCGGUGAAAUGCUUAGAUAUCGUCAAGAACACCGAUAGCGAAGGCAGCUUACUAGACCGUAACUGACGCUGAUGCACGAAAGUGUGGGGAUCAAACAGGAUUAGAUACCCUGGUAGUCCACACUGUAAACGAUGAUUACUCGAUGUUGGCGAUACACAGCCAGCGUCUUAGCGAAAGCGAUAAGUAAUCCACCUGGGGAGUACGCCGGCAACGGUG
RNAcentral lists this ribosomal RNA (368 nucleotides) under uncultured organism. RNAcentral describes it as "bacterial SSU rRNA". It matches the Rfam family "Bacterial small subunit ribosomal RNA", at positions 526 to 896 of the family's 1533-position model. The record is from RNAcentral.